RNAcentral lists this ribosomal RNA (363 nucleotides) under uncultured bacterium. RNAcentral's name for it is "bacterial SSU rRNA". It matches the Rfam family "Bacterial small subunit ribosomal RNA", at positions 29 to 392 of the family's 1533-position model. The record is from RNAcentral.
AUUGAACGCUGGCGGCGUGCCUAACACAUGCAAGUCGAGCGGUAACAGGUGUAGCAAUACAUGCUGACGAGCGGCGGACGGGUGAGUAACGCUUGGGAAUCUGCCUGAUAGUGGGGGACAACCCGGGAAACUCGGGCUAAUACCGCAUACGCACUACGGUGGAAAGCCGGGGACCGCAAGGCCUGGCGCUAUCAGAUGAGCCCAAGUCGGAUUAGCUAGUUGGAGGGUAACGGCCUACCAAGGCGACGAUCCGUAACUGGUCUGAGAGGACGACCAGUCACACCGGAACUGAGACACGGUCCGGACUCCUACGGGAGGGCAGCAGUGGGGAAUAUUGGACAAUGGGCGAAAGCCUGAUCCAGC